UACGGGGGGGGCAAGCGUUGUUCGGAAUUACUGGGCGUAAAGGGCGCGUAGGCGGGAUGGCAAGUCGGUCGUGAAAUGCCUCGGCUCAACUGAGGAUCGUCGAUCGAUACUGCCGUUCUUGAGGAUUGCAGAGGAGACUGGAAUUCCCGGUGUAGCGGUGAAAUGUGUAGAGAUCGGGAGGAACACCGGUGGCGAAGGCGGGUCUCUGGGCAAUUCCUGACGCUGAGGCGCGAAAGCGUGGGGAGCAAACGGG
Molecule: ribosomal RNA, 253 nt
Filed under: uncultured bacterium
Lineage: Bacteria
Description: partial 16S ribosomal RNA
Rfam family: Bacterial small subunit ribosomal RNA
Source: RNAcentral